Long non-coding RNA from Neltuma alba, 436 nucleotides. RefSeq lists it as uncharacterized. The transcript is spliced from 3 exons. The record is from RefSeq and is a predicted model, not a curated record. Lineage: Eukaryota; Viridiplantae; Streptophyta; Magnoliopsida; Fabales; Fabaceae.
UUCAAUGGCAACAAACCAAAGGAAGAGAGAAGUGAUAUAGAGAGAGAAUGCAGGGAGGGGUAGCCGAAGAAUUUGCCAAACCAAGGUGAGAGGAGAUUGUGAGCUUUGAGAAGGGGAAGAACAUGAAGAAGGCAAAUGGCGACCGAGAAGCCACGAUGGAGUGCGGCGGCUGAGAAGCUAUGGCGGGGUGCAUCUUUCGAGAAGCUAUGGUGGAGUGCGUCUUCUGCAACUUUGCUGCAUCUUCCUUAUUAUGAUCCACGCACUUACUUGCAGAACUUUCAUCGGGGCUCUGCGCUGGAUGAACUAGACAAUUUGUCUAGAUCUUUCUCUGCUCGCUUUGCUAAUCCUUCUAGAUUAAGUUGUUAUUACUUACUAUAACUCCUUCCAGAUUCGCAUUUUAUAGCACUACUGAGCAAUUGUUAAUUAAGUUGUAGAG